This 1359-nucleotide ribosomal RNA is filed under the name metagenome. RNAcentral describes it as "bacterial SSU rRNA". It matches the Rfam family "Bacterial small subunit ribosomal RNA", at positions 115 to 1462 of the family's 1533-position model. The record is from RNAcentral.
GUGUAGGUAACCUGCCUUGUAGCGGGGGAUAACUAUUGGAAACGAUAGCUAAUACCGCAUAACAAUGGAUGACCCAUGUCAUUUAUUUGAAAGGGGCAAAUGCUCCACUACAAGAUGGACCUGCGUUGUAUUAGCUAGUAGGUGAGGUAACGGCUCACCUAGGCGACGAUACAUAGCCGACCUGAGAGGGUGAUCGGCCACACUGGGACUGAGACACGGCCCAGACUCCUACGGGAGGCAGCAGUAGGGAAUCUUCGGCAAUGGGGGCAACCCUGACCGAGCAACGCCGCGUGAGUGAAGAAGGUUUUCGGAUCGUAAAGCUCUGUUGUAAGUCAAGAACGAGUGUGAGAGUGGAAAGUUCACACUGUGACGGUAGCUUACCAGAAAGGGACGGCUAACUACGUGCCAGCAGCCGCGGUAAUACGUAGGUCCCGAGCGUUGUCCGGAUUUAUUGGGCGUAAAGCGAGCGCAGGCGGUUUGAUAAGUCUGAAGUUAAAGGCUGUGGCUCAACCAUAGUUCGCUUUGGAAACUGUCAAACUUGAGUGCAGAAGGGGAGAGUGGAAUUCCAUGUGUAGCGGUGAAAUGCGUAGAUAUAUGGAGGAACACCGGUGGCGAAAGCGGCUCUCUGGUCUGUAACUGACGCUGAGGCUCGAAAGCGUGGGGAGCGAACAGGAUUAGAUACCCUGGUAGUCCACGCCGUAAACGAUGAGUGCUAGGUGUUGGAUCCUUUCCGGGAUUCAGUGCCGCAGCUAACGCAUUAAGCACUCCGCCUGGGGAGUACGACCGCAAGGUUGAAACUCAAAGGAAUUGACGGGGGCCCGCACAAGCGGUGGAGCAUGUGGUUUAAUUCGAAGCAACGCGAAGAACCUUACCAGGUCUUGACAUCCCGAUGCUAUUUCUAGAGAUAGAAAGUUACUUCGGUACAUCGGUGACAGGUGGUGCAUGGUUGUCGUCAGCUCGUGUCGUGAGAUGUUGGGUUAGGUCCCGCAACGAGCGCAACCCCUAUUGUUAGUUGCCAUCAUUCAGUUGGGCACUCUAGCGAGACUGCCGGUAAUAAACCGGAGGAAGGUGGGGAUGACGUCAAAUCAUCAUGCCCCUUAUGACCUGGGCUACACACGUGCUACAAUGGUUGGUACAACGAGUUGCGAGUCGGUGACGGCAAGCUAAUCUCUUAAAGCCAAUCUCAGUUCGGAUUGUAGGCUGCAACUCGCCUACAUGAAGUCGGAAUCGCUAGUAAUCGCGGAUCAGCACGCCGCGGUGAAUACGUUCCCGGGCCUUGUACACACCGCCCGUCACACCACGAGAGUUUGUAACACCCGAAGUCGGUGAGGUAACCUUUUGGAGCCAGCCGCCUAACGG